CAAAGUAGGCAAAUCCGCUUUGAUAAUGCUGGGGUGUGAUGGGGAGCGAAAUGUAGUAGCGAAGUAGCUGAUUUCACACUGUCAAGAAAAGUCUCUAUCGAGGUUAAAGGUACCCGUACCGCAAACCGACACAGGUGGGUGAGGAGAGUAUCCUAAGGCCAGCGAGAGAACUGUUGUUAAGGAACGCGGCAAAAUGACCCCGUAACUUAGGGAUAAGGGGUGCCACCAUCAGGUGGC
Molecule: ribosomal RNA, 237 nt
Filed under: Clostridioides difficile
Lineage: Bacteria; Bacillati; Bacillota; Clostridia; Peptostreptococcales; Peptostreptococcaceae
Description: partial 23S ribosomal RNA
Rfam family: Bacterial large subunit ribosomal RNA
Source: RNAcentral